GCCUGGGUGGCUCAGUCGGUUAAGCGUCUGACUUCAGCUCAGGUCAUGAUCUCAUGGUUUGUGGGUUCGAGCCCCACAGCGGGCU
This 85-nucleotide transfer RNA is filed under the name Felis catus (domestic cat). It matches the Rfam family "tRNA". From Rfam's summary of the family: Transfer RNA (tRNA) molecules are approximately 80 nucleotides in length. The record is from Rfam by way of RNAcentral. Lineage: Eukaryota; Metazoa; Chordata; Mammalia; Carnivora; Felidae.